RNAcentral lists this long non-coding RNA (914 nucleotides) under Coffea arabica (coffee). RNAcentral describes it as "long non-coding RNA (CARA_LNC000786)". Lineage: Eukaryota; Viridiplantae; Streptophyta; Magnoliopsida; Gentianales; Rubiaceae. The record is from RNAcentral.
UCCAUUUAAAAACAGAAAAAGGAAAAUUAUAUCAGGGAACCAAUGACAGUUCUCCCUCUCUCUCUCUCUCUCUAUAUAUAUAUAUAUGGGUAAAAAAUAAAAAAGCCCCCUGUGAUAAGCCUAAUACACAGAAAAGCCCCCUAUGGUUUCAAAAUAUACAAUACGAUACCUCAUACUUUGAACUAAAUUGUAAAGGUGACGGAAUCCGUUAAAUUUAACGGAAAUGACUUAUUGAAACCAAAAAAAAAAUUUUUAUACUUAAUUUUUAUCAAAUAUACCUAUUCUACCCCUUAACCCUCAAUUCUCUCUAUUUAGAGAAUAAAACAAAUGAUUUUUUUGAGCUGUCUUUUGCUUAAUUAUAUCAGGGUAUUUUGGUCAUUUUAUCCAUUUCCGUUAACUUUAACGGAUUCCGUCACCUUUACAAUUUAGUUUCAAGCAUGAGGGGUCGUGUUGUAUAUUUUGAAACCAUGGAGGGCUUUUCUGUGUAUUAGGUUUACCACAGGGGACUUUUUUAUUUUUUACCCAUAUAUAUAUAUAUUUGGGAUAAGCUCAACAAUUGAAUAAAUAAGACAACUUCCUCACGCCAUCCAAAGCUAGUAGUUGCCAAAAAAGCUAUUAGCACUACUGGUGUAGUGUGUGUUUAUGUAUAUUUGUGCAAACGUGAGGGAAAGCAUGCAGUAACAAAAGAAGGGUAUAUUAAUCAAAGAGAGGGUAGAGUAUGGUUACGAUUCUUUGAUUGCAGUAUAAAAGGUUACCACGAGCCCUAACUAUUCUAGCCUCGGUCAAAUUAUAGAGGUUUGACAAGUGGGAUGAUUGACAAGCACCAUGUAGCUAAAAAUCACCCCCUUCCACUCCUAAGAAGCCAAAAGGUGGAUCACGGGAUUAAUACAUUCUUGACACUACGAGCUUUGUAC